CAUGCAAGUCGAGCGGGGUGAUGUAGCUUGCUACGUUACCUAGCGGCGGACGGGUGAGUAAUGCUUAGGAAUCUGCCUAUUAGUGGGGGACAACAUUCCGAAAGGAAUGCUAAUACCGCAUACGCCCUACGGGGGAAAGCAGGGGAUCUUCGGACCUUGCGCUAAUAGAUGAGCCUAAGUCAGAUUAGCUAGUUGGUGGGGUAAAGGCCUACCAAGGCGACGAUCUGUAGCGGGUCUGAGAGGAUGAUCCGCCACACUGGGACUGAGACACGGCCCAGACUCCUACGGGAGGCAGCAGUGGGGAAUAUUGGACAAUGGGCGAAAGCCUGAUCCAGCCAUGCCGCGUGUGUGAAGAAGGCCUUUUGGUUGUAAAGCACUUUAAGCGAGGAGGAGGCUACUUAGAUUAAUACUCUAGGAUAGUGGACGUUACUCGCAGAAUAAGCACCGGCUAACUCUGUGCCAGCAGCCGCGGUAAUACAGAGGGUGCGAGCGUUAAUCGGAUUUACU
RNAcentral lists this ribosomal RNA (507 nucleotides) under uncultured Acinetobacter sp. RNAcentral describes it as "bacterial SSU rRNA". It matches the Rfam family "Bacterial small subunit ribosomal RNA", at positions 54 to 555 of the family's 1533-position model. The record is from RNAcentral. Lineage: Bacteria; Pseudomonadati; Pseudomonadota; Gammaproteobacteria; Moraxellales; Moraxellaceae.